Molecule: long non-coding RNA, 635 nt
Organism: Lycium barbarum (goji berry)
Lineage: Eukaryota; Viridiplantae; Streptophyta; Magnoliopsida; Solanales; Solanaceae
Exons: 3
Source: RefSeq, a predicted model, not a curated record
CUUCUGUUAGAAUUUGUGUAUACAAGAACCUCUUUUCAUGGAAAUUGAACGUAAUUGAAGCAAUUCCAUUCUUGGAAAAUAUACAUAGGCGAUGAAGUGUAUUGUUAGCAACUACAUCUUCCAGUUGGGAUCGUGAAGCAAUAAAUACAACUAACGACAUAAAGUUUAUGUCAACGUUGGGAAUGUGAUUCUAAUGUCGGCUUCCUCCGGAUGAUAGAAAAUUUGCGAAUUCUUCGAAGUGAAGUAAGGUGGAAGAAGAAUAGUUCUUGGCAUAUAAAGUCAAGAUGGUGGUCAAGCUGCGGAAGAAGAGCACUGCGAAGCUUACACCAACCAGGUCCUGAUAGACAGAGCGGGGGACCUCUUCAGUAGGACUAUCAGUUUCAGCGGGUCGUCAGCAAGUGUCAUUGUAUCGGGCUUGCUCUUUUGGUAUAUGCUAUGUUCACAUGUUAUGUAUUUUUAUCUUUUGGGUACGGCGGAGCCCUGUCCCAUCCAGUAUGUCAUGUAUAUGCACUUCUAGAGGCUCAUAGACAGUGUUAUGUAUGUAGGUGUCAUGUACGGCCUCGUCGACCAUAGUUUGAUUAUGACACUCUUAUGGCAGCCUCGCCGGCUGGCGAAUAUAUAUAUGUCUUCACUUG